This 496-nucleotide ribosomal RNA is filed under the name uncultured bacterium. RNAcentral's name for it is "partial 16S ribosomal RNA". It matches the Rfam family "Bacterial small subunit ribosomal RNA", at positions 29 to 507 of the family's 1533-position model. The record is from RNAcentral.
AUGCACGCUGGCGGCGUGCCUCAUCCAUGCAAGUCGCGCGAACGGACGAGAAGCUUGCUUCUCUGAUGUUAGCGGCGGACGGGUGAGUAACACGUGGAUAACCUACCUAUAAGACUGGGAUAACUUCGGGAAACCGUAGCUAAUACCGGAUAAUAUUUUGAACCGCAUGGUUCAAAAGUGAAAGACGGUCUUGCUGUCACUUAUAGAUGGAUCCGCGCUGCAUUAGCUAGUUGGUAAGGUAACGGCUUACCAAGGCAACGAUGCAUAGCCGACCUGAGAGGGUGAUCGGCCACACUGGAACUGAGACACGGUCCAGACUCCUACGGGAGGCAGCAGUAGGGAAUCUUCCGCAAUGGGCGAAAGCCUGGCGGAGCAACGCCGCGUGAGUGAUGAAGGUCUUCGGAUCGUAAAACUCUGUUAUUAGGGAAGAACAUAUGUGUAAGUAACUGUGCACAUCUUGACGGUACCUAAUCAGAAAGCCACGGCUAACUACGUG